This 2098-nucleotide long non-coding RNA is filed under the name Helianthus annuus (common sunflower). Its description in RNAcentral is "hypothetical non coding rna". The record is from RNAcentral. Lineage: Eukaryota; Viridiplantae; Streptophyta; Magnoliopsida; Asterales; Asteraceae.
UUUGUUUUGCUGUUGACAUAUCCAUUCAAUUCUUUAGUUUAGACGUAUCUUGGUUUUUUAUUGGCAUAAGCAUUCUUAGUUGUCUUAUUUUCUAUUUUCAAAAAUAAAAUUACAACUUUAAAUAAGAAAUUUAUGGGUAUAUUAACCUGUUGAUUUUUUAUGUUGAACAAAUGAGAGUUUAUAAAAAGUAUAGAAAGUUUCUUAAAGUUAAUUAUAUUGAGAUUAAGUAGAUAAGACGGAUGAAUUGAGUUUUCUUUUUCGUUUGCUAUACCGAGUGCAUCGAGACUGAUCAAAUUCUAACAAACUUUGAUAUUGGUACUAGUAUUACAUUUUAUGGUUUCCAAUCUAAACUUCGUUUUUUUACAUGACUAACUAAAUCAAUACUGUCGGAAGAACUUUGGUAACAGUACCUAUAUUCGUUUUUAUGGUUUUCCAUUAAAAAUUUCGUUAAAAAUGUAGUUCUAUUUCACUACAGAAUAUCUUUGUAUAUCAUAAGCUUUAGCACGUGUCGGUAUUAUGCUGGUACAGUGAUGAACCGAAUUGAUCCAGUCCCAACAAUAACGGUAUCUGGUCAACUUCGACUGAACAUCAUCAGUAUCGGUAUCGAUACUAUUAGAAUCGUUACUAAUAUUCUUUUGUAGUUUUCGAUCGAUAUAAAACACGUGUCGAUAUCCUUUUGAACAUAUCACAUUUUAAUUUUUGGCUUUGUCUUUCAUUUGUGACACCGAGUGGCCCGAUACCGUACUAAUACAAUCAUGAACUAAACCGAUGCUGACCAAAUUCCCGCCGCAACGCGCGGGGGAAUUCAACUAGUUAAGUAUAAGCAAAAAUACAAUAUACAGUGGAAGUGUUUAUUAAUUUAAUAUUUAAUAUUAUUAUCUCAUGAUUGCCAACUCACCUUGAUAAAUUGGCUAUAUGUGACACGCUGGCUAUUUGGGUAUCUAUAAUAGACAGCAAAUCCUGGCAUGUUUCCACAUUCACGUUCAUAUAUAGAUUCGUCACUCUGCACAAAAUAGUCAAACCAUAAAGGCAGUUAAGUAGGUAUUUUUGUAAGUGUAGAAAGUUGCAACUCGGCCCAUUCACCUACAAAUGGAUCAAUUUAAGUUUUAUUUUAUAGGUCAAAUGAGUUGAGCUAACGAUAUAGCUAAAAACGAAACUGAUCAAAUGAGUUAAAUAUCAUCAGAAGUGUACCGAAUCUAUAUAUGAACUGUAUUUUGCACUUGAUUAUAAACUAAAUAUUUUAAUUACCUUCCAAUAAUAGGCAGUCUUGAGAGUCUCAAAGAGAAAUCUACCAAGGCGGCCCACCUCGUACUCCGUGCAACAGCAUAUCAUUGGUUGUAAUGUUUUACAUAUAAGAACAUCAAUAUGGUUGACCGUGUUGAAAAAAGGGGUGCCAAGUGAAUGAAGGGUAUGAACAAACAUAGCACAAUAAACAGCAUCAGGCAUGCUGAAUGUACAUCUAGGAAAUAUGCACCGUUGAAGGAACUCCAUGUUAAUCUUCAAUGUAUCAGGGCAUGAACUCAACCAAUUAUCUUUCUCACGGGCCAAACGUCUACGCACAGACGCAACGUUUUCUUCAUGUUUCUGGAGUUCACUAGUUAACUUAUCUAGAGAUUCUUGGAUCUUUUCUUUAUCUUUCUUUCGUUUGGUGAUUGCUGAAUUGGAAUUAUCAGAAAGUUCUUCUAAUGCUUUAAGAGCAGCAUGCUGUUUGGCUAUCUCAGACUCGUAACGAUUUCUCGGUACAUAAAGAUCAUAAAGUGUUAGCCCCCAAAACGUAGCGUACAGAUCAGGCGAGAGACUGUUCCAAGCUUUUGCCGGUAACACUGUUCUAACUGUCUCCAGAAGAUCUGACCACCUGUCAGAAAAAGUCAAAUUAGACCCAUAUAUAAAAAAAAAAAAAAAAAGUUAAAUGCUAUUUUCGUCCCUGAGGUUUGGCCAGUUUUGCAACUAUCGUCCAAAGGUUUGUUUUUCCAUUGAUGGGUACUUUUUACACCUGCAAAUAAGCACUUUGUAGUUAUUCUUGGCUAAAUAGUAUCAGUUAAAGUGAGACGAAAAAAAGGUGAAACCUCAAUGCACGCCGUCACAUAUCACUACAGUC